This is a long non-coding RNA of Salvelinus sp. IW2-2015, 506 nucleotides long. RefSeq lists it as uncharacterized. NCBI's taxonomy places the organism in Eukaryota, Metazoa, Chordata, Actinopteri, Salmoniformes, Salmonidae. The record is from RefSeq and is a predicted model, not a curated record.
AGUGGGGGAGCGAGUCAGAGAGAGGGAGGGAAGAGAGGAAACAGUUCCUCUCCCGUUAAAGGAUGUCAAGUCUUCAGCUGAGAGCCGUUGAGGAGCACUGAUCCAUCCAUCCUUCCUGCUCGUCCAGAUGAAUCUCACCACUGCGACUCCACAGCCUCGGCACAGACUUGUAGGUGGAGGAGACGAGGAGCUGCUCUGUGUCAUGAAGACGAAGGUGAAAGUGUUCUCCUGCCCCAGGCUGAGUGGAGUGCACUGCAUACAAAGGUAGACUGAUGUUCAUAUUCUACUAUGGACGGUGUGUGGUACAGACUGACAUCGACUGGAGCAGAACAGGCCACGAGGACGAUUCAGCUCUACCAUAGGUGUGUCAUCAUGUGUGUGUCUGUGUGCAUCAAUACUGAAACCAUUAGUCUGUAUAUAUCCACCUACUGCAUCAUCUUAACUCAUUUUAACUGUGAAGAAUGUUUGAUUAGGCUGUGUUUAGCCAGGCAACCAAUUCUUAUCUU